RNAcentral lists this ribosomal RNA (469 nucleotides) under uncultured beta proteobacterium. RNAcentral describes it as "partial 16S ribosomal RNA". The record is from RNAcentral. Lineage: Bacteria; Pseudomonadati; Pseudomonadota; Betaproteobacteria.
CCAGUCAUGAAUCUCACCGUGGUAGUCGCCCUCCUUGCGGUUAGGCUAACUACUUCUGGUGAAACCCACUCCCAUGGUGUGACGGGCGGUGUGUACAAGACCCGGGAACGUAUUCACCGCGACAUGCUGAUCCGCGAUUACUAGCGAUUCCGGCUUCAUGCAGUCGAGUUGCAGACUGCAAUCCGGACUACGACCGGCUUUCUGGGAUUAGCUCCCCCUCGCGGGUUGGCUGCCCUCUGUACCGGCCAUUGUAUUACGUGUGAAGCCCUACCCAUAAGGGCCAUGAGGACUUGACGUCAUCCCCACCUUCCUCCGGUUUGUCACCGGCAGUCCCAUUAGAGUGCCCAACUGAAUGUGGCAACUAAUGGCAAGGGUUGCGCUCGUUGCGGGACUUAACCCAACAUCUCACGACACGAGCUGACGACAGCCAUGCAGCACCUGUGUCCAGGUUCCCUUUCGGGCACCCUCA